UCAGGUAAGGGACGGUUUCAGCAGGUGAAAUUGCGCAUGCUCCGUGCGAGUCCCGCUGGGGGCGGGAGAACAAAGCGGCUGCUGCCUCCGUGUGACCCGGCUGCAGAAUGUCUAUGUUUUGCUCCAGUUCAUCCCAUCCUCUCAUUGGACAGGGUAGAGAAAUGGCUGCAGAGGAGCCAGUUCAGGGGCCGGUGACCUUCGAGGAGGUGGCUGUGUAUUUCAC
Molecule: long non-coding RNA, 223 nt
Organism: Mauremys reevesii (Reeves's turtle)
Lineage: Eukaryota; Metazoa; Chordata; Testudines; Geoemydidae
Exons: 3
Source: RefSeq, a predicted model, not a curated record